Molecule: ribosomal RNA, 497 nt
Filed under: uncultured bacterium
Lineage: Bacteria
Description: partial 16S ribosomal RNA
Rfam family: Bacterial small subunit ribosomal RNA
Source: RNAcentral
GAUGAACGCUGGCGGCGUGCCUAAUACAUGCAAGUCGAGCGAACAGACGAGGAGCUUGCUCCUCUGACGUUAGCGGCGGACGGGUUAGUAACACGUGGAUAACCUACCUAUAAGACUGGGAUAACUUCGGGAAACCGGAGCUAAUACCGGAUAAUAUAUUGAACCGCAUGGUUCAAUAGUGAAAGACGGUUUUGCUGUCACUUAUAGAUGGAUCCGCGCCGCAUUAGCUAGUUGGUAAGGUAACGGCUUACCAAGGCAACGAUGCGUAGCCGACCUGAGAGGGUGAUCGGCCACACUGGAACUGAGACACGGUCCAGACUCCUACGGGAGGCAGCAGUAGGGAAUCUUCCGCAAAGGGCGAAAGCCUGACGGAGCAACGCCGCGUGAGUGAUGAAGGUCUUCGGAUCGUAAAACUCUGUUAUUAGGGAAGAACAAAUGUGUAAGUAACUAUGCACGUCUUGACGGUACCUAAUCAGAAAGCCACGGCUAACUACGUG